GGGUCAGCGAAAAGCUGACCGGUAGGAGAGCAUUCCUGCCAGCUUUGAAGGUCACCCGCGAGAGUGACUGGAGCGGCAUGAAAAGCAAAUGUAGGCAUAAGUAACGAUAAUGGGGGCGAGAACCCCCCACGCCGCAAGACCAAGGCUUCCCCGGCAAUGUCAAUCAGCCGGGGGUCAGCCGGCCUCUAAGGCUAACCCGAAGGGGGAUGCCGACGAGAAACGGGUUAACAUUCCCGUGCUUCUCGUCACCGUGACGCGGUGACGGGGUGAUGAAUGGACCGCGCGCUGACGGAAUAGCGCGUUGAAGGCCGUACCCUGUGACGGUGGUAGUCAAGCACGCCACCGGAGGCGAAAGUCGAUAGUACCUCGAGGCCUCGGCCGAGUGGAUAGCGUCCAGGCAAUUAACCCCCUAGAAAACCCGCUAAACUUCAAGUGACGAGGAACCGUACUGUAAACGGACACACGUGGUCGGGUAGAACAUACCAAGGCGCUCGAGUGAUUCAUGGUCAAGGAACUAGGCAAAAUAGUCCUGUAACUUAGGGAUAAAGGACGCUCUAGUGAUAGAGCCGCAGAGAAAUGGCCCAGGCGACUGUUUACCAAAAACACAUGGCUAUGCCAAAUCGAAAGAUGACGUAUAUGGCCUGACACCUGCCCGGUGCCGGAAGGUUAAGAGGAGAGCUCAUCGGAAACGAGAAGGUUUGAAUUGAAGCCCCGGUAAACGGCGGCCGUAACUAUAACGGUCCUAAGGUAGCGAAAUUCCUUGUCGGGUAAGUUCCGACCUGCACGAAUGGUGUAACGAUCUGGGCACUGUCUCGACCAUGAGCUCGGUGAAAUUGUAGUUCCGGUGAAGAUGCCGGGUACCCGCGACGGGACGGAAAGACCCCGUGAACCUUUACUGCAGCUUCGCGUUGUUCCCGGGCACGGGACGUGUAGGAUAGGUCGGAGGCUACGAUUCGGUUUCGCCAGGAAUCGAGGAGCCAUCGUUGAAAUACGACCCUUCUCUUGUCUGGGAUCUAACCCUGGUUAUAGGGGACACCGCGUGGUGGGUAGUUUGACUGGGGUGGUCGCCUCCAAAAGCGUAACGGAGGCUUCCAAAGGUACCCUCGGGUUGGUUGGUAAUCAACCUCAGAGUGCAAUGGCACAAGGGUGCUUGACCGGGAGACCAACGAGUCGAUCGGGUGCGAAAGCAGGGCAUAGUGAUCCGGUGAUCCCGCGUGGAAGGGUCAUCGCUCAAAGGAUAAAAGGUACUCCGGGGAUAACAGGCUGAUCGCCCCCAAGAGCUCAUAUCGACGGGGCGGUUUGGCACCUCGAUGUCGGCUCG
This 1321-nucleotide ribosomal RNA is filed under the name human gut metagenome. RNAcentral's name for it is "bacterial LSU rRNA". It matches the Rfam family "Bacterial large subunit ribosomal RNA", at positions 1205 to 2539 of the family's 2925-position model. The record is from RNAcentral.